AUACCAUAACUAUAGCUGAAAAAACAAAAAUUCACUACUGAUUUUCAUGAAAUUCACAAAUCAUAGCUGAUAAACUUUCAAAGCUUUGUAUUAUUUGCGAUUAUCUUUGUCAAUAAUCAUUCGAAAAGCUUGGGACGGAGUAUUUUUUUCUUUGAUUGAGGUACUUUCUUUAUGGCUAGUAAUAAUGCAUACCAAUUGGAUCCUGGUCCACUUGACCCAUCUGUAUUAAUUGAACAACUCACCCAUAGGUCACGAGAUAGAUGGGAUGGCAAAGACAAUAUGGUUCUGAAUACAAGGAGGUGUGAUGGAAAGUUUUGGGACCUCGUAAAGAAAAAUUCCAUCAAGCCAUGAGUUUUAGAAGUGAUUAAACUAUCUGGAUUGUACUGUGUUUAUAGAUCUCAGCGGCCUAUUGUUGACCAUGGUUUGAUUACUUCACUGGUGGAGAGAUGGCGUCCCAAAACUCAUAUGUUCCACUUUAGGAUGAGUGAGGCGACGAUCACCUUCCAGGAUGUAGAGGUGUUGUAUGGUUUACCCGUGAAUAGUAAUCCAGUACUUGGGAUUGAGCAGACAAGGGACAACGCUCAUUAACAAAGUAUUUGUGCAAGAUUAUUAGGUUUUACUCCAGUUCCUGGAGACAUCAAAUAUAGUUGCCUCAAGGUAUCUGCGCUUAAUACACAUAUGCAACGUCAGCUAAAGUUGCCGGACAUGAAAACACAGGAUAUAGUUAAUCAAAUAGCUAGAUGUUGUAUGUUUUGGUUGAUUCUUUGGUACGUUGAUGGCAGAUACAUCUGGUAGUUACUUGAAGCUUAUGUACUUGCCUAUGCUCGAGGACGUUAAUGCGAUUGGGUCUUAUCGCUGUCUUUGUAAUGCCUCACAGGGUAACCAACAUGAGAUAGCAGAAUUCCUACCACUACUACAGGUUUGGGAAUGGGAGAGAGUUACAGUCCUCAUGCCCCAUAUUGUAGCACAAAGGGAUACACAAAAUAUUUUUCUAUCCGGUUUA
This is a long non-coding RNA of Lycium ferocissimum, 1003 nucleotides long. RefSeq lists it as uncharacterized. Lineage: Eukaryota; Viridiplantae; Streptophyta; Magnoliopsida; Solanales; Solanaceae. The record is from RefSeq and is a predicted model, not a curated record. The transcript has 3 exons.